AGGGCUAGAAAUCCUACUGCACGCCUCGGGAAACCGAGGAAGCCUUCGAGGGUGUAGGAC
Molecule: ribosomal RNA, 60 nt
Filed under: uncultured organism
Description: partial 16S ribosomal RNA
Source: RNAcentral